RNAcentral lists this long non-coding RNA (3410 nucleotides) under Salvia miltiorrhiza (redroot sage). RNAcentral describes it as "long non-coding RNA (SMIL_LNC006893)". Lineage: Eukaryota; Viridiplantae; Streptophyta; Magnoliopsida; Lamiales; Lamiaceae. The record is from RNAcentral.
GCUGCAAGCUUUAUCGUGCCGACGGGACCUUCAUUUGCUCUGCAACUUAAUCAUACUUCAUCUUCUAUUCCAAUCAGGAUAUCGUCUUAAUUGUGUAAUCCACAAUUCUUUACUUAUCAUAUUCUUAGAUUCUACAUCUGCCCUUCAAAUACAGCAUCUCAAAUACAUUAAAUAACCCCGGCCCCUUAAAAAAGUAAAUUAACUUUCUUAUUUUAUAAGUAUCGUUGUAUCCUCUAUGAAAAAUGUACUUUGUGUAUUAAUGUGAGCUACUUGUAAGAGUUGUAAUCAAUAUUUAUGCUAUCCAUUGUUUUAAGGUCUUAUUUAUAAUCAAGAAUACCUCACCUCAAAAUAGUGAUAGGAACUAGGAAUUCUCUAUGAGGGCUUGAACUUGUUGAAGUAUAGGCAACGUCCUUUUGUGCGAAUUCUCAUAUUUUGUAUCGAAAAAUCAUAGUUAAAAAUCUCUGGCUUGUCAUCGCCCUCAAACGUAAUCUUGUAGAGAUGAACUAAGUAACCAAUUCACUUGUGUUCUUUUUAUUUUUCGUGAUUUGUGUUUGUUAUUUCUUUACAAUUUUUUUUUUAAUAUUGAAAAUUAAGUAAGAGAUGAAAAUGGUACAAAAAUAACAUAAGUUUAACAAACUAAUAUAACAAACAAUUACAAAUUCUUAAAUAAUUAACAUGGAUGCUACGAAGUCAUAAAACAAGGAUAAAUUCUUUUAUAAAUAAAUGCUUCUACUUUCUUAUAAUUUGAGGGAUUUUUUUUCUAGAAGAUUCAAAAUGGUGUCUUAACCUCUCUCUCUCACACACAAAAUUAGUAGUAUAUCUACAAAAUAAAAAUUAUAGUUUACAUAUACUAAAAUGUAGAGAAAAAUAUUAGUUUACAGCAUGAUAUUAUAUAACUCAAGUAACCAUAGUCACUUUAUCUAAUUUGUCGGACCCUUUAUUUAUUAUCAAAUAUACAACUAGUUUUUUCAAAACACAUGCCCCCUCUACUCAGAAAAAUAUUUCGUGAAGAGACGAAGUAAUUUUUAAUUUAAAGGCCUGGUGGGAUUUUGAAUUGGGUCGGACUAGUCCAAAUUCUCCCGUUAGCCCAUGGGCUAGGAACAGGCCGAUCCGACCCAAAAAACCAUUGAUCCUUACGCACUCUGAAUAGUAAUUUAACGGUGGCACAAGAUUGGUCAUUACAAAAUUGGGUACUCAUGUUAAGAAGGGGAUUGUGAUCGGUUCUAAUGCUGCUAGCAAAGUUUUGGUUCAUAGGAUGUCACUUAUUCCAUUGAAUUCAAGGUUUCCUUUGACCUAAUGGUUAAAAUAGUAUCGUAACUUUCAGAUUUUCAGAAAAAAGAUAUAUUUAGGAAUUUAAAUGACUAUAUUUUUUUUAACAUUUACACUCCUGUUUUGGACCCAAAAUCAAUUAUUCGGGCUUUUGGUGCCACCUAGAGCCCGUUGCUGAGUGCGGCCAUGUCAAUUUUUUGGCAAUUUUCGACAUAGGAGUGUAAAUAUAAAAAAUUGAAGUUAUAGUCCUCAUUUUCAAAUUCAAUAAUGUAUAGUCCUCUUUUUAAAAACAAUGAAAAUUACGGUUCUAUUUUUACAAUUAACAAUUAUAUUUGUUUUAUCUUAAUUAUUUAAUAUCCUAAAGGAAAGCUACAUAUAUGAGUUCAUUAUAAUAUUGAAAGACGUUCAAUGACAUUUUGGUCCGUCCACAAUAUUAUUUCUACUUUCAUUGAUCCACAAACUCCACUUACAAUAAUAGUGGGAGCCAAACUUCACUCAUAACAAUACCCACUACUAUCAACUGUUAUUCACCACUUUCUUAAAACUCAUGCAAUUCAUAAAAUGGAACGAUAUCAUGGAUGGAGAGAGUAUAUAUUUAUAAAAGGGCAUUUUUUUUUUAUAGUAGUGACUAUUAUUAUUAUAUUUUUAUUUAUGUGGUUAGAAUUAAUCUUUGCUUAAGCAAAAUGAUUAUUUUAAUAUUUGUCUCAAGUCUUUUUAAAUUCAUUUUAUAGAUUAUCUUGUAGAUUGUUAAUAGCUACUAAAUUUUCAUUGUAAAUGCAAUAUAGGCCUAUGUGUAAAGUUAACAAAAAUAUAAUUAAUAUUGUAGUAUCUACACUUAUCUCCACACUUACAUUGAUUGUACUUUAACUCUUGACUGAGUCUCAUAUUCAGAUAUAGCUCAGGGCUUUUUCCAAUAUUCAAAGGAAUCUUUAAGCUAAAUAAAGUUCGUGAAAUUAAUCUUUACUUAAAUUUAAUUACUUCAUCUAAUUCAGCAAAAUCUUAGCAAAGUUAACCAUACGAAUUAUACAUUUUCAUAUAUCUUAAACUUGGUGGUCAGUAGAUUGGAUGUCAUGUCUAUAACUGAUUGAGUCAAUCGGGUCUAUGUUCUAACUUCAUAAAAAAUAGUGAAAAUUCUUUGAUAAUAUAAAACCAUACAAUUAGCUUGUUUCCAACAUAAACUAAAAAGAAAAAAAAAAAACCUAUAACACAAAUAAUAUCGAUAUAAUUGACAAAAAUAAAAUAAAAAAUAAUUCAAAAUCUAAGAGGUUUUUAAAUACAAAUCUAACUCAUUCCACAUUCUUAAAAGAAUUGAAUAUUACAAGAGGUUAUAACAUCUAUAAUCUAUAGUAUAUAAAUUAAAAUAUGAUAUCAAAACAAUAACAAAAUAUUAAUUAUUCAAGAUCCAAUUAAUUAUAUUUAGGGGUAUUGGCCUGUAAAUACUCUAACUUUUCUCAUUUUAUGGUUUUGCGCCUCAACUUUAAAAUCUGCCUAUAAAUACCUGAACUUUGUAGUCUUUCUAAUUUUCCACCCAACGAAUUUUUACCCCAAAGUCGUUGCUAAUAACAUGGCACCCGAAUUGACAUCUCAAAUCUAUAAUUACAUAUUCUAAAUCCGACAUUGACAACAAACUUAUCUGCUUCGUUAUAAANACCCUCAAACGUAAUCUUGUAGAGAUGAACUAAGUAACCAAUUCACUUUGUUCUUUUUAUUUUUCGUGAUUUGUGUUUGUUAUUUCUUUACAAUUUUUUUUUUCAAUAUUGAAAAUUAACUAAGAGAUGAAAAUGGUACAAAAAUAACAUAAGUUUAACAAACUAAUAUAACAAACAAUUACAAAUUCUUAAAUAAUUAACAUGGAUGCUACGAAGUCAUAAAACAAGGAUAAAUUCUUUUAUAAAUAAAUGCUUCUACUUUCUUAUAAUUUGAGGGGUUUUUUUUUCUUAGAAGAUUCAAAAUGGUGUCUUAACCUCUCUCUCUCACACACAAAAUUAGUAGUAUAUCUACAAAAUAAAAAUUAUAGUUUACAUAUACUAAAAUGUAGAGAAAAAUAUUAGUUAAAGUUUGAGAUCAACAAACUGAACUGCCACAAAUAAAAUAGGACAUGUUUUAAAACUUAUGAAUCUUAUCUCAAUAGUUUACACUCU